Gadus macrocephalus (Pacific cod) is the source of this 317-nucleotide long non-coding RNA. RefSeq lists it as uncharacterized. Lineage: Eukaryota; Metazoa; Chordata; Actinopteri; Gadiformes; Gadidae. The record is from RefSeq and is a predicted model, not a curated record. The transcript has 2 exons.
AUUAUAAUCUGACCCACCUGUGUCUGUUUAAUGAGUUGAUGGAGCUCCGUCAGCAGUUCGGCUAUUUUGGUGUCGGCGGACAUGUUGGUACCUGCGGAAAGAGGGGGAACAAGGAGAAACUUGGACAGAGACUUGGCUCUCAUUCCCUCAAAUAUUUACAGUACAGAAGGACAUGUGACCAAAGCUGGAAGCCACGAGUUAUAGAGCAGGAGUAGGAGGAGAAACAAAAAUAUUUCUAGAAAACAUCAAGGACCAGUCAGGAAGAAACUUAAAAAACAACAAAAAAACACUGAAAUUUUUUCCAAAUUAGAAUGUUU